CCCAGACUCCUACGGGAGGCAGCAGUGGGGAAUAUUGCACAAUGGGGGAAACCCUGAUGCAGCGACGCCGCGUGAGUGAAGAAGUAUUUCGGUAUGUAAAGCUCUAUCAGCAGGGAAGAAAAUGACGGUACCUGAUUAAGAAGCCCCGGCUAACUACGUGCCAGCAGCCGCGGUAAUACGUAAGGGGCAAGCGUUAUCCGGAUUUACUGGGUGUAAAGGGAGCGUAGACGGUGAUGCAAGUCAGAAGCGAAAGCCCGGGGCUCAACUCCGGGACUGCUUUUGAAACUGUGUGACUGGAGUGCAGGAGAGGUAAGCGGAAUUCCUGGUGUAGCGGUGAAAUGCGUAGAUAUCAGGAGGAACACCAGUGGCGAAGGCGGCUUACUGGACUGUAACUGACGUUGAGGCUCGAAAGCGUGGGGAGCAAACAGGAUUAGAUACCCCGGUAGG
Molecule: ribosomal RNA, 447 nt
Filed under: uncultured bacterium
Lineage: Bacteria
Description: bacterial SSU rRNA
Rfam family: Bacterial small subunit ribosomal RNA
Source: RNAcentral